GACGAACGCUGGCGGCGUGCUUAACACAUGCAAGUCGAGCGGUAAGGCCCUUUCGGGGGUACACGAGCGGCGAACGGGUGAGUAACACGUGGGUGACCUGCCCUCAGCUCUGGGAUAAGCCUGGGAAACCGGGUCUAAUACCGGAUAUGACUCCAUGACGCAUGUUGUGGGGUGGAAAGCCUUGUGCGGCUGAGGAUGGGCCCGCGGCCUAUCAGCUUGUUGGUGGGGUNAUGGCCUACCAAGGCGACGACGGGUAGCCGGCCUGAGAGGGCGACCGGCCACACUGGGACUGAGACACGGCCCAGACUCCUACGGGAGGCAGCAGUGGGGAAUCUUGCGCAA
Molecule: ribosomal RNA, 342 nt
Filed under: uncultured bacterium
Lineage: Bacteria
Description: bacterial SSU rRNA
Rfam family: Bacterial small subunit ribosomal RNA
Source: RNAcentral